This 24-nucleotide non-coding RNA is filed under the name Arabidopsis thaliana (thale cress). Lineage: Eukaryota; Viridiplantae; Streptophyta; Magnoliopsida; Brassicales; Brassicaceae. The record is from RNAcentral.
GAAAAUUUUUCAGUGAGACUAUGC